This 491-nucleotide ribosomal RNA is filed under the name Brettanomyces custersianus. RNAcentral describes it as "eukaryotic LSU rRNA". It matches the Rfam family "Eukaryotic large subunit ribosomal RNA", at positions 90 to 595 of the family's 3401-position model. The record is from RNAcentral. Lineage: Eukaryota; Fungi; Ascomycota; Pichiomycetes; Pichiales; Pichiaceae.
CGAACGAAGCGGCAACAGCCCAAAUUUGAAAUCUGGCGUAAGCCCGAGUUGUAAUUUGGAGGUAGACUAUUUGGAUGUCUGUGUCAACUAAGUGCCUUGGAAUAGGCCGCCGUAGAGGGUGAGAGCCCCGUGAGUUGACUAGCAGUUAUUCAGUUUGUCUUCCGACGAGUCGAGUUGUUUGGGAUUGCAGCUCUAAGUGGGUGGUAUAUUCCAUCUAAGGCUAAAUAAUAGCGAGAGACCGAUAGCAAACAAGUACAGUGAUGGAAAGAUGAAAAGAACUUUGAAAAGAGAGUGAAAUAGUACGUGAAAUUGUUGAAAGGGAAGGGUAUCUGAUCCGACGUGGUAUUUAGAUGUCGCCUGCCCUUGUGGCGGGUGCUCCAUUUUUUUACUGGGCCAGCGUGAGUUAGAAGGGGAUGAAAAGGCGGGAACGAAUGUAGCCUUCCUCCCUUUGGGAGAGGGGUGUUAUAACAUUCCUGUUUAGUUCCUUUCUG